UUGCCUGGGGUGUUCGAGAUAUUCCUUAUAUUUUGAACCUACAUAUUGACAUACGGGAUUCCUAUAUUGCGGAGCGGAUGCCAGGCCUCCUUUGAGUGGAAGGCAGAAACUGCCGCUGCGGGCACCCACCUGGCUCUGCUAGGGAGUCAAAAGCAGGAUGACGGCACCCUGGGUU
This 175-nucleotide non-coding RNA is filed under the name bovine gut metagenome. Its description in RNAcentral is "6S / SsrS RNA". It matches the Rfam family "6S / SsrS RNA". Rfam says of the family: E. coli 6S RNA was the first non coding RNA to be sequenced, but its function was unknown until recently. It consists of 184 nucleotides that fold into an extended hairpin structure with a large single-stranded internal bulge. The record is from RNAcentral.